Gavialis gangeticus (Gharial) is the source of this 301-nucleotide long non-coding RNA. RefSeq lists it as uncharacterized. The transcript is spliced from 3 exons. The record is from RefSeq and is a predicted model, not a curated record. NCBI's taxonomy places the organism in Eukaryota, Metazoa, Chordata, Crocodylia, Gavialidae.
GUUGAAUAGUUGUUCUCUGAGUGAUCAUCAUUUAUUCCAUGCACUGAAUGAGGCCUGGGAGCCUGUGGGGAAAUAGAAGCAUGAAAGAGGGUGAUGUUUCCUGGACUGAUGUGGCUGCACAGGAAAUACCAAUUGGCUGCUGCUGUGGUAAGUUACAGUUGGCAUGUCUAUGAAUGGCAACAUGCUGUUUUCCCAUCUUAGAUAUUUGAGUCACUUUUGAGAACUUGAGUGGCUGCGUAGAACCCGGGAGACAAACUUCUUAAAGAUACAGCACACUGUCUGCCAGAGACCCGCGUUUCAG